CGCACACACAGGGCCACUUGGCUAUUAUAAUAUAGAUUCUUUAAUUUUAAUAACAUACAAGAUGAGAGCACUUUUUUUUAAGUUAUUGCGUUAAACUGAUCAACCCAUUGGUUCGUUAACUCCCUGCAUUUUACAGCUAGUCCAAAGCCUAGGAAUAAGGAUCUAAGUGAGAAGGAAGAUUAAAUCCUGAACGCCGUCUUCUGUUGCAAAAGAAGUGAGUUGUAACCAUCUCUCAUAAAACGAAAUGCAAAUUAAAAUACGUCUCACUAGUUCAAUCGAGUGUAAAGAUUAAUGGUGUAAAACAGAAAAUCCUCACAUUUCUAAGCAGCGAUCAGAGAAUGUUUUACUUUUUCUUUUAGAAAAAAACUUUCAGGUUUUUGUUGAUUGAUCGAGUCUCACUGCUCACGUUCAGGCUCCUUGAACAAACUGAUGGCAAUAAGAGCUUCUUGUAGUUAAGAUCGGAUCUUUAUUUUGAAUAAAAUGCACAUUAAAAUAAGAAAGGACAUGAGCACACAAAGCUGAGGUGCAGUAUUUUUGUACUAGCCUUCAUUGCCGCAGAGUGACAGGUUGUGUGGUGUUUCCAUUCUCUGCUUUCGUUUAAA
Molecule: long non-coding RNA, 602 nt
Organism: Thalassophryne amazonica
Lineage: Eukaryota; Metazoa; Chordata; Actinopteri; Batrachoidiformes; Batrachoididae
Exons: 4
Source: RefSeq, a predicted model, not a curated record